GGGCGCGCCUAACACAUGCAAGUCGAACGAGCGAGAGAGAGCUUGCUUUCUCGAGCGAGUGGCGAACGGGUGAGUAACGCGUGAGGAACCUGCCUCAAAGAGGGGGACAACAGUUGGAAACGACUGCUAAUACCGCAUAAGCCCACGGCUCGGCAUCGAGCAGAGGGAAAAGGAGCAAUCCGCUUUGAGAUGGCCUCGCGUCCGAUUAGCUAGUUGGUGAGGUAAUGGCCCACCAAGGCGACGAUCGGUAGCCGGACUGAGAGGUUGAACGGCCACAUUGGGACUGAGACACGGCCCAGACUCCUACGGGAGGCAGCAGUGGGGAAUAUUGCACAAUGGGGGAAACCCUGAUGCAGCGACGCCGCGUGGAGGAAGAAGGUCUUCGGAUUGUAAACUCCUGUUGUUGGGGAAGAUAAUGACGGUACCCAACAAGGAAGUGACGGCUAACUACGUGCCAGCAGCCGCGGUAAAACGUAGGUCACAAGCGUUGUCCGGAAUUACUGGGUGUAAAGGGAGCGCAGGCGGGAAGACAAGUUGGAAGUGAAAUCUAUGGACUCAACCCAUAAACUGCUUUCAAAACUGUUUUUCUUGAGUAGUGCAGAGGUAGGCGGAAUUCCCGGUGUAGCGGUGGAAUGCGUAGAUAUCGGGAGGAACACCAGUGGCGAAGGCGGCCUACUGGGCACCAACUGACGCUGAGGCUCGAAAGUGUGGGUAGCAAACAGGAUUAGAUACCCUGGUAGUCCACACCGUAAACGAUGAUUACUAGGUGUUGGAGGAUUGACCCCUUCAGUGCCGCAGUUAACACAAUAAGUAAUCCACCUGGGGAGUACGACCGCAAGGUUGAAACUCAAAGGAAUUGACGGGGGCCCGCACAAGCAGUGGAGUAUGUGGUUUAAUUCGACGCAACGCGAAGAACCUUACCAAGUCUUGACAUCCCUUGACAGACAUAGAAAUAUGUUUUCUCUUCGGAGCAAGGAGACAGGUGGUGCAUGGUUGUCGUCAGCUCGUGUCGUGAGAUGUUGGGUUAAGUCCCGCAACGAGCGCAACCCUUAUGGUCAGUUACUACGCAAGAGGACUCUGGCCAGACUGCCGUUGACAAAACGGAGGAAGGUGGGAAUGACGUCAAAUCAUCAUGCCCUUUAUGACUUGGGCUACACACGUACUACAAUGGCGUUAAACAAAGAGAAGCAAGACCGCGAGGUGGAGCAAAACUCAGAAACAACGUCCCAGUUCGGACUGCAGGCUGCAACUCGCCUGCACGAAGUCGGAAUUGCUAGUAAUCGUGGAUCAGCAUGCCACGGUGAAUACGUUCCCGGGCCUUGCACA
RNAcentral lists this ribosomal RNA (1326 nucleotides) under uncultured bacterium. Its description in RNAcentral is "bacterial SSU rRNA". It matches the Rfam family "Bacterial small subunit ribosomal RNA", at positions 40 to 1387 of the family's 1533-position model. The record is from RNAcentral.